GCCCCGGUGGCGGAAUGGCAUACGCAGCAGGUUGAGGGCCUGUGCCCUUGUGGCGUGGAGGUUCGAGUCCUCUCCGGGGCA
RNAcentral lists this transfer RNA (81 nucleotides) under Pseudomonadota bacterium. RNAcentral describes it as "tRNA-Leu". It matches the Rfam family "tRNA". Rfam says of the family: Transfer RNA (tRNA) molecules are approximately 80 nucleotides in length. The record is from RNAcentral. Lineage: Bacteria; Pseudomonadati; Pseudomonadota. RNAcentral also lists the same sequence under 1 other name.